AAAGAAGAACACAAAUAUUCCCUGAUCUACUGAGUAUCUACAGCACAUUUUUCAAAUUUCCAGCAUCUGCAGCUUUUGGCUUCUCCAACAGGGUGGCUGGGGCCCUAUCAAGAUUUUUAAUCUGCAGUAGCACUCAAAAACUGCAAUUCUACACGACAGCAUGUACCCGCUCUUUGAGCUCACCAAUCGGCCACGUUUCAGUACGUCCAGGGUUGGCCUGAAGUCAGGCAACUUUAGGGCCUGUGCAGCCCUGUGGACACAAAUUCUCAUUGGUGUCGCAUACUGAAAUGUAGCGGGAGCCAGAACAUCAAAGACAGCAAGAGUAGCUGUUGGAGGGCUCUGCACUCAGUAAUUGAUCUGC
This is a long non-coding RNA of Hypanus sabinus (Atlantic stingray), 361 nucleotides long. RefSeq lists it as uncharacterized. The transcript is spliced from 3 exons. NCBI's taxonomy places the organism in Eukaryota, Metazoa, Chordata, Chondrichthyes, Myliobatiformes, Dasyatidae. The record is from RefSeq and is a predicted model, not a curated record.